AUGAAUAAUUCAGAGCAUAGUAACCCCUCAACUCACCUUUCAAAUUGUUUCUCUCCCCCUAUCCAAUCUCCAAUGAAUUUACCGCCUAUGUACCCCAGCCAGCCUCCAACUUUACCUUCCCUCAUGAAUCAGCCUUCCUCGCAAUCUCCUUUGGUGUAUCAACCGUACUCCCAAUCACCGCAAGCACCAUCUUUCACUCAUUCGGAUCUCUCAUCCGAAAUCAGUGCAGCAAUAUCAUCGGAAAAUAUUCAUUCACCUGGCCCAACGUCGCCGAGUUUAGGGCCACCCGAAUUCGAACCACCUGCCAGUAUGCCUGAAGAACCAAGUAAAAGUCCUCCUCCCUCAACGCCGAAUACAGGAAUAUCUGAAGAAAACAGGAUGGAAUGCCACUUCUCUAGUCCAACUCCGGCCAAGGAUAAAACUCCGGAAAUGAGCUACCAGAACUAUGAGGAUUUUUCAGGCGAGUCAGAUACCAUGACAACAGUGAGAUAUCCUCACGCACAGCGGCCGCGCAUGGACUAUCAGCACAUUGUGAAGCCUCAAAUCUCGCAAGAUGUUGCAUCAAAAAGUUUGUCCGGCUUGGAAUCACUGGUAGACCAGAUCCCGAACAUUGGAGAGGGAGAGCAAAUGAGCGAACAUGUGCCUAGCGGUCAGUUUUCUGACGAAUCCUAUCUAUCAGAAUAUUCGAGAAUGUAUCCACCCCCCAGUACACCAACUGCUCCUCCGACUACGCAACAGAGUCAAGCUAGUAUGAAUUUCUCUGUUUCUUCUUUAACGAAUAACAGCUCAAUAGAUGCAUUCUCUGUCUCUCAUAAUUAUAAUCCUUCGAGUUAUCCAAAUCUAAUGGGCCCACCUCAUCCUCAUCUUAUGGACUCAUCAAGUAGUUCUUUAUUCAAUCCUCUAGUUGACAGGACGUGUCGUCUGGGCGGCUCUUCAAUGAAUAGCGUUGGAAUGCCGUAUCCUUACAACCAGUACUCGAGCCCUGGUUUCUCGUAUCCAGCACCACACAAUAUUCAUGUACCCAGCCCCAGUUUCCCCUACGGUGCUCCUUACCCCAGCGCUGGUUACUCACAAACAGGCUAUCACAAUAUCGGCUACGGUAGUUUUUGA
RNAcentral lists this long non-coding RNA (1110 nucleotides) under Bemisia tabaci. RNAcentral describes it as "lncRNA ENSSSA3NGG001208". The record is from RNAcentral. Lineage: Eukaryota; Metazoa; Arthropoda; Insecta; Hemiptera; Aleyrodidae.